RNAcentral lists this ribosomal RNA (719 nucleotides) under uncultured bacterium. RNAcentral's name for it is "bacterial SSU rRNA". It matches the Rfam family "Bacterial small subunit ribosomal RNA", at positions 12 to 726 of the family's 1533-position model. The record is from RNAcentral.
UUUGAUCAUGGCUCAGAUUGAACGCUGGCGGCAGCUUAACACAUGCAAGKCGAGCGUAACAGGGGGAGCUUGCUCCCCGCUGACGAGCGGCGGACGGGUGAGUAAUGCAUAGGAAACUGCCCAGUAGUGGGGGAUAGCCCGGGGAAACCCGGAUUAAUACCGCAUACGSCCUUUGGGGGAAAGCAGGGGAUCUUCGGACCUUGCGCUAUUGGAUGUGCCUAUGUCGGAUUAGCUAGUUGGUGGGGUAAGAGCCUACCAAGGCGACGAUCCGUAGCUGGUCUGAGAGGAUGAUCAGCCACAUCGGGACUGAGACACGGCCCGAACUCUACGGGAGGCAGCAGUGGGGAAUAUUGGACAAUGGGGGCAACCCUGAUCCAGCCAUGCCGCGUGUGUGAAGAAGGCUUUCGGGUUGUAAAGCACUUUCAGUGAGGAGGAAAACCUUAAGUUUAAUACGCUUGAGGCUUGACGUUACUCACAGAAGAAGCACCGGCUAACUCCGUGCCAGCAGCCGCGGUAAUACGGAGGGUGCAAGCGUUAAUCGGAAUUACUGGGCGUAAAGCGCGCGUAGGUGGUUUGAUAAGCGAGAUGUGAAAGCCCCGGGCUCAACCUGGGAACGGCAUUUCGAACUGUCAGGCUAGAGUAUGGUAGAGGAGUGUGGAAUUUCCUGUGUAGCGGUGAAAUGCGUAGAUAUAGGAAGGAACACCAGUGGCGAAGGCGCA